GCCAGGCACAGUAGUGCAUGCUUGUAAUCCCAGCUACUUGGGAGGCUGAGGCAGGAGGAUUACAAGUUCAAGGCCAGUUUCAGCAAUUUAGCAAGGCCCUAAAUAACUUAGUGAGACCCUGUCUCCA
Molecule: small RNA, 127 nt
Filed under: Marmota monax (woodchuck)
Lineage: Eukaryota; Metazoa; Chordata; Mammalia; Rodentia; Sciuridae
Source: RNAcentral